AUUAAAUACAGUCAACCAAUAGACCAAAGAAAAUCUCUGAAAAUCUUUUUACAAUCUAAAAAAAAUUCUCAGUAUGUCAUUUUCUUCAUUUUUUUUUAUUACAUUAAAAUAAAUCUCAGGUGAAGAAAUUCAAAUUAAACAUCAUUGAAUAUUGAAAAAAAUCUCAUUUUUCCAUCUCGAUUUCCAUUAACGUGGAUAGUUUUUAUUAUAAUCUGGUUUGGGAUGUCAUUGGGUAUGUGGUCUUAAGGACAUAUAUAUCACUGAACAACCUCGUAAGUUUUUAUUAUUACUACUUUUUUCAUCUGUAUUCAUUUAUAUUUUUUUGGAAUUAACAUGUAGUAACACACUACUUUAUCAAGUCCACUACAUGUUGGCCUCCUCGAAAAGCUGUGCUAGCAGCCUUUUCUAAAGCAGCAGGUGUUAAUAUACUUAUUUAAAUGCAGUGGCUCCCAUAAAAUGCGAAUUAAUUCACAUAACAUAAUCAAAAGAUUGCAAUCUAGUACUCAUACAGAAGAUCAACAGUCCAGUAUAACGUGAUGUGGAUAAGACUAAUAUGGUUAACUUUAUCUUCAAAAAGGACAUUACCCCUCAACGACGGUACUGAACACAGAGGAAUGGUGCUGCGAUUCUGAACACUGCUGAUAGCACCGUGUUUCAAAUUAGAUUACCAUACAUGUGAUCUAUACAGCUGAAGGCUUAGCUAUUGAGGUUAUAAAAUAACAACAGAACACUGCAACCUAUGGACAGCCCGUUUGCUUUCUGCAGUUAUAGGUAACAGCAGUAAGGACUCAUUGAUUACAGCAAUCAACAGUUUGAUGGUUAUAGGUAAAAAAGGUGCGGAAAAGUUCCUGAUUUGUGUAUAAGCUCAUAGCAGCAAUAAGUACGACCAAGUUGA
Cimex lectularius (bed bug) is the source of this 895-nucleotide long non-coding RNA. RefSeq lists it as uncharacterized. Lineage: Eukaryota; Metazoa; Arthropoda; Insecta; Hemiptera; Cimicidae. The record is from RefSeq and is a predicted model, not a curated record. The transcript has 2 exons.